RNAcentral lists this long non-coding RNA (533 nucleotides) under Manihot esculenta (cassava). RNAcentral's name for it is "long non-coding RNA (MESC_LNC011296)". The record is from RNAcentral. Lineage: Eukaryota; Viridiplantae; Streptophyta; Magnoliopsida; Malpighiales; Euphorbiaceae.
CAUCUACAACACUUCAAUCACACACAAUCAAGCUACAUUGUUCAAAGAGUCAUCAAAAACCCAUAGGUUUAACAUAUACCCUAACAUGCAUUCUACCCCUUAAAACUUCAUAAAACUUGUUUAAAUCAUACAUUGAGCUUAAGAUCGGCUCUUACCUCUUGAAGAUCGAGGGUUGAGGAGAUCUAAACUUGGAGAUGGGAGAAGUUCCAACUUUUGGUCUCCAAGCUCCAAAACUCGUUCUAAGCUCAAAGAUCUUCAAAACCAAAGUUAUAAACUUGUAAAGAUCAUGGAAAAAGGAAGGAAAAACUCAAGAUUGGGGAAGGAUGGCGGAAUGCUCACCUUGGCCGAAAUAGGGAGAAAAAGCUCGCCCAUUUUCGGCUAAGGGACCCUUUUAUAGUGGCUGGCCAGACCACGUUCGGGGGCCGAAUGUGCCUCCGCAUCCAUGCAAAUGUUCGGCGGCCGAACAUGAGGUUCGGCGGCCGAACCUUGACUUCCCUCACUCAUGCUUUCGGGGGCCUAACGUGCCUCCAAAA